This 475-nucleotide ribosomal RNA is filed under the name uncultured soil bacterium. RNAcentral's name for it is "bacterial SSU rRNA". It matches the Rfam family "Bacterial small subunit ribosomal RNA", at positions 59 to 519 of the family's 1533-position model. The record is from RNAcentral.
CAGUCGCACGAGAGUGGAGCAAUCCAUGAAAGUGGCGCACGGGUGCGUAACACGUAGAUAAUCUGCCCUUCAGCGGGGGAUAACGUUCCGAAAGGAGCGCUAAUACCGCAUACAGCAGUUGGUGGUUCGCCAUCGAUUGGCAAAGGCUGGGACCUUCGGGCCAGCCACUGGAGGAGGAGUCUGCGGCCCAUCAGCUAGUUGGUAAGGUAAUGGCUUACCAAGGCAAAGACGGGUAGCUGGUCUGAGAGGAUGAUCAGCCACACUGGUACUGGAACACGGACCAGACUCCUACGGGAGGCAGCAGUGGGGAAUCUUGGUCAAUGGGCGCAAGCCUGAACCAGCGACGCCGCGUGAGUGAUGAAGGCCUUCGGGUUGUAAAGCUCUGUGGGGAGAGACGAAAGAAUCGGUUCUAACAGGACCGAAGUUGACGGUAUCUCCUUAGCAAGCACCGGCUAACUCUGUGCCAGCAGCCGCG